Molecule: RNA transcript, 2219 nt
Organism: Zea mays
Lineage: Eukaryota; Viridiplantae; Streptophyta; Magnoliopsida; Poales; Poaceae
Gene name: Nuclear poly(A) polymerase 3
Exons: 11
Source: RefSeq, marked validated
UCGCCUCCUCGUUCUCCACAAGAAACGGCAGGAAAUCUCUCUGCAGUGUCUGCACUGCACCCAUCCGCUUCUCCUCGUCCGCCGCGGCCGUCGCCGGCGACGAGCAUGGCGUACAUGACAGCUGUCGCGCCCGUCCCCUGGUGGCCGCCUCCCCCGGAGCUGGCGCAUGCGGGCCUCCUCGUCGCGUCCUCUCCCGCCGGCUAUCCAGAGCCCCAAACCCUACCCUUCUUGUUCGCGCCGCUCCCUCCGCCGCCGCCUGCGGGGUGCCCACUUCUUCCUCCCCCAGCCCCGAUCGUCAUACAGCUCCAGCCCCACCCCAGCUUGCUCGCGGAGGUGGAUCAUCGCCGCAGCAGUUCUCUCGUGCAGUUCUUGAAGGAUGAGGGGGCCGUUUUGUCGCCGGAGGAUGAAAAUAAGAGGGAGAAGGUGAUCCGAGAGCUCAAGAAGAUAGUGAUGCAUUGGGCCAACGCGGUGGCUUAUGAGCAGAGUGUGCCCCAGGGGCUGGCCACAGCUACCGUCCUGACAUACGGUUCUUACACAUUAGGGGCUCAUGGACCUGAAUCUGACAUUGAUUUACUUUGUCUUGGACCUUGUAUUGCAACACUGCAGUACCAUUUCUUUGUUGUUUUGAGACAAAUUCUUCAGGGCAGACCAGAAGUAUCAGAAGUACACACUGUUGAGAAGGCUAAGGUUCCCUUGAUGCGAUUUAGAUUCACUGGGAUUGCAGUUGAUUUGACAUAUGCCCAACUCCCUGUUAUUGAUGCAUUAAAGGCUAUAAAUACGUUUAGCCCUCAACUACUACAGAAAAUAGACACACGGAGCUGGAGGAGUUUAUCUGGAGUUCGUGUCAAUGAACAAAUUGUUCAGCUAGUACCAAAUGCGGAGUUUUGUUUUACUGGAAAUACAAUGCAGAAGUUUCAAACUCUGUUGCGAUGCAUCAAACUAUGGGCUAGGAAAAGAGGACUUCAUUGCCAUUAUCUUGGCUUCUUUGCUGGGAUUCAUUUAGCAAUCCUUGCGGCAUAUGUCUGUCGGAAAUUUCCAGAUGCCAGUGUCAGUGGUUUGUUCGCAGUGUUCUUUCAGACGUUUGCUCACUGGCCUUGGCAAGUUCCAGUAAGUCUGCAUGAUGAGCUAACUACAUGCUUGCAUUCGGAGGGACGUCUCAUGCCUAUAGUGAUGCCUUGUACCCCGCCAGAGUUUUGUGCGUCCACUGUGACAAAAGGCAGCUUAAAAAAAAUAAGAGAGGAACUUACACGUGGUUAUGUUUUGACAAGGUCCAUUCAAAUUUCAGUGUGCACAAUCAUUUGGAAGUGAGAUUGCAGUUUUAUUCUGGGAAAUUGGUUGGUGGCAAGGGGAUCCAGCUUCUAUUUGCAAGAUCCAUUGAGGCAUGAUUUCCAGUGGAGCUGGCUUUUUGAACCCUUCCCAUAUGAUCAGAAAUAUCAGCAGUUUCUCCGCAUUGCUUUACGUGCGCCAACUAUUGCUGAACUAGGAGACUGGGCUGGAUGGGUGAAAUCUCGAUUCCGUUUCCUGAUUCUGAAGCUGGAAAGGGCUGGGAUUGAGUGUGAUCCAUGCCCCUCGGAGGAAGUUGAUCAUACAGACAAUGACCCCAACGUGGUCUUCUACUGGGGCCUUAUCCCUAAAAGAAUCAUUCAGGUCGACACUAGCUCCCUGAAAGGAGAUUUCAUGGAAGACCUCACCAAUGAUGUGUACGGCACGGUGAAGUGCACGCAUUCAGAUGUGACAAUAUCUGUGGUUGGGCUGCCACAGCUGCCUAAGAGCAUGUGCAGCCGGGUCUAUCCACCGGCAGUACAUGCAGCACUGUAUGAUGGGCUACGAGGGCACAGAUGAAGGCCAGAUCGAGCGCAGGUUCGUUAGAUCAUACUACCACGACCGAUGCUCCAGUCUUCCGGGGCAACCGUGUACAGAAUUGAUGAGUUUUUUCAUCCCAUAGCACAGGGAUUCAAGGUACUGGACCGGGUAUUCUUUUGAGCUGGGAGGAGUGCUUGUGUGCGCAAGAAUAUGGGAGGACUACUGACCGGUAGAAGAGCAAAGAAAAUGUGUAUAGCAGAGGCAUGUAAAAACUUAGGCCCUGUCGGCAUAGGCAGUGUACACUUCUUUUGUGUUCUAAGUGCUGCUGGAUCCUGAUUCAUUCAAAUUUUGCAAUGAACAAGAUGGCAAGAUGUGUAUAUAGUUGGUUCUAUUGGCUGGGUGGAUGUUGAUUUUGA